Molecule: ribosomal RNA, 2713 nt
Filed under: Triticum aestivum (bread wheat)
Lineage: Eukaryota; Viridiplantae; Streptophyta; Magnoliopsida; Poales; Poaceae
Description: partial small subunit ribosomal RNA
Source: RNAcentral
UAAGACUAUAUCAUUAGAGAAAAGCAAAUGGAUACUAGUACAAAUGGUUCUCAGAUUUACAAGUAAAACCACUAAGAAUUGUGGUGUAAAACCCACUAACAAAACCAGUAAAUAGUUACAGUGUAAAUCCAAUGAUAGUUACACAGUAAAAAUGCAAAAAAACAAAAUAAUUAUAGUGUAAAUCCAAAAAUGAGAAUUACACUGUAAAUCCACUAAGACAGUGUAAACAAUUUGAGAUUUACGCUAUCAAAACAAGAUAAUUACACUAGAUCAAACAAGACAAUUACAGUGUAAAAUCAUUUGAGAUUUACACUAAAAAAAUUCAGUGUAAAUACUAUGAGAAUUACACUGUAAUUACAGUGCGAAAAAUUACAGUGUAAAUACUAUGAGAAUUACACUAUAAUCAAACAAGAUAAUUACAGUGCGAAAAAUCCACUACAAAUACCGUGAGAGAAACACUAAAAGAUAUUACAGUGAAAAUACUUUGAGAAUUACACUGUAAAUCCACUACGAGAAUUACAGUGUAAAUCACUGUAAAACUCAACAAGAUAUUACAGUGCAAAUACUUUGAGAUUUACAAUGUAGCAAAACAAGAUAAUUACGCUGCAUCAAAUAAGACAAUUACGAUGUAAAAUCAUUUGAGAGUUACACUAAAAAAUUACGGUGUAAAUACUUCGAGAAUUUCACUGUAUCAAAACAAGAUAACUACAGUGCAAAAAAUACUAAAAGAUAUUAAAAUGAAAAUACUUUGAGAAUUACACUGUAAAUCUACUAAGAGAGUUACAGUGUAAAUCCUUUGAGAAUUACACUGUAAAAUACAGUAAGAUAUUACAGUGUAAAUACUUUGAGAUUUACACUGUAUCAAAAGAAGAUAAUUACACUACAUCAAACAAGAUGAUUACAGUGUAAAAUCAUUUGAGAGUUACACUAACAAAUUACAGUGUAAAUACUUUGAGAAUUACACUGUAUGAAAACAAGAUAAUUACAGUGCGAAAAAUCCACUACAAAUACUGUGAGAGAAACACCAAAAGAUAUUACAAUGAAAAUACUUUGAGAAUUACACUGUAAAAUCCAGUAAGAUACAGUGCAAAUCAUUUGAGAAUUACACUGUAAAACACAGAUAAUUACAGUGUAAAAUACUUUGAGAAUUACACUGUAUCAAAACAAGAUAAUGACAGUGUAAAAAAUCCACUAAAAAUACUUUGAGAGUUACACUAAAAGAUAUUACAAAAAACCAGAGACAAAGGCUGCUUCUUACAUGAGAGAGGAUCACAUUUACGCUGCAGCCACAUAGAUAAAAAAACUGCUUAUUAAGUAUUACUAGUGUUUCAAAAAACCAUUGCAAACACACAUCAAUCCACACAAAAAUGCAAAAAAGCGGCCAGGUAGAUGCAAACCACACUUCACACGCCCAUUGGCAAAGGUCUGAGCAUGUAGACACAGGCUCAUAUCAGUCACCAACUUAUUUCAGAGCCACAAAAGGCGAGCGAGACCCACCAAUAAAACCACUAAUAAGAUAAGGAAAAUACAUUGCCAUGGCACUAAGAUUUACACAGUAAAACUACAAAAGAAUUACGGUGUGACUACACUGGGAUUUACACUAUAAAAAUACACUAGGAAUCAACCGAAGAUGCAUUCCAAAAUGCACUAAGAAUUACAUUGUAAAUCCACUAACGAAUUACACUGUAAAAAUCAUCUAAAUACAGUCAAAAAACACUAGGGAUGACACUGUAAACCAACUUACACAUAACUGAAUUUACAAAAACAGAUACAAAAGCACUCGAAAAAUCACUGAAAAUUACACAUUGCUGACGCUUAACUGGUAAAAAUUCAGUCCCAAUCGCUCUAAAAUUGCUCAAAAUUAACAGUACAACACACUGACUGAAACAACUUGCGUCAUACACACAUACAGUCCAAAACAUCUAGGAGCUCAUUCAAAUCAGUUACAUCCACGUAUCUAUGGGCUGUGCACAUAUAGGGGCACUGAACAACUGCAGCCGCAUUAGGGGAGCAGAAAAUCAAAUGUAGACAUGGGCGGAAACUGACCCCUACAACUACAUGGACCAGGUGUUGCUGCAUCUACAUCUACUGAGAUGUUGCUCCCUCUCCAUCAACAACCGAAAAAUCUAGGAACCACCACAAAACAACCUAAGAAGCGCUGGAUCCACCACUGCACAUGGGAACAAAAACGCCACUACGCCAGAUCUAGCAAAAUCCUACAGUAAUUGCAUCGAAAUGAAGACAGGGAGGAGGAUAUUGGCAAAACAAACCUCGUUGCGGGAAGAAGGGAGACACAGGGCUCGAAGAACACCAUAGCAACAGGAGGAGCGGCGUGAAAUUAUCGGUAGCAGAUGAGAUACCGCCGCGGAAUCACCAUGUGUCGACUUUUCCUCUUCCUCGACGCGCUUGCAGGAGAAGCAACAGGGGGUAGGGGAAGGAUGCCAACCACAGGCUCGCUCUCCGGAGAUCAGCGGCAGAACUAACCACCCAAAUCGCCAUGGCCCUCUCCUCUCUGCCUCCAAGAUCUCGCCGCUCAAAAUGGGGAAGGGAAACAGACAAAGUCACCGCAAGAGAUAAUAGGAAAUUCAAAGAAAAAGAAAAAUCCGCUAGUACACGGACCCGUUCGGGAUUAACGGGUCUCCGGGGGCGUGGUUGCGGGCCCGGUAACAAAAAAACACCCGCGAGGCUAGAAUCAAACGCGAAUCUUGACGCA